CAGGUUUUGAAUUCGACAUACUUGACUUGCGGUGAUACUGGGGGAACCAACUUGAGCGGUAAAGAGUAUAAUCCGUCUUUAUUCUGGCCGCGGUAGAAAAUCUGAUUCGUACGGGUAUUCUUAAUGAUAAAGAAAUUAGCAAAGAAUUCAACAGAGACAUUAUUGUUAGAUGUCAAUGCAUAAACAGAUAACAGAUUUUUAUGAAUGUCAGGAGCCAACAAAAUGUUAUCAAAAUAAAAAAUGACAUUAUUAGCAGACAUAAGUGAACAUCAGAAUUAGUGGUUGAAAUAUUUUUACCAUUACCAAUUGUUAACGUCUGACUGCCAGGAAAAGGUUGAGGGUGGGAAAUAUUUUCAUUUGCAGAGGUAAUGUGAUAAUUGGCUCCUGAGUCCACUGUCCACAUUUGAGGCUGUUGAGUAUGAUAGGCUGCAUAAUAGGACUGGGGUCCACGUGAUGGUUGAAGCUGUUGUCCCAUACGUAGCUGUUGAGAAUUGGAGAAUUGAUUCUUUGGGGAAGGACAUUGUCUAGCCAUGUGCCCUUGUCCCCUACAGUUAUGACAUAUAAGAGGCCCACCAGGUGCACUGUUAUGGUUAUUCAUGGCUUUCUG
This 607-nucleotide unclassified non-coding RNA is filed under the name Hevea brasiliensis (rubber tree). Lineage: Eukaryota; Viridiplantae; Streptophyta; Magnoliopsida; Malpighiales; Euphorbiaceae. The record is from RNAcentral.